UGCCAGCCGCCGCGGUAAUACGGAGGGGGUUAGCGUUGUUCGGAAUUACUGGGCGUAAAGCGCGCGUAGGCGGCUUUUUAAGUCAGAUGUGAAAGUCCACGGCUCAACCGUGGAAGUGCAUUUGAAACUGGGAGGCUUGAGUAUUGGAGGGGGUGGUGGAAUUCCCGGUGUAGAGGUGAAAUUCGUAGAUAUCGGGAGGAAUACCGGUGGCGAAGGCACUUUACUGGGCUAUUACUAACACUGAGAGACGAAAGCUAGGGUAGCAAAUGGGAUUAGAUA
RNAcentral lists this ribosomal RNA (279 nucleotides) under uncultured bacterium. RNAcentral's name for it is "partial 16S ribosomal RNA". It matches the Rfam family "Bacterial small subunit ribosomal RNA", at positions 506 to 784 of the family's 1533-position model. The record is from RNAcentral.